ACGCUCGACACCUACGGGAGGCAGCAGUGGGGAAUAUUGCACAAUGGGGGAAACCCUGAUGCAGCGACGCCGCGUGGAGGAAGAAGGUCUUCGGAUUGUAAACUCCUGUUGUUGGGGAAAAAGAGGAUGGUACCCAACAAGGAAGUGACGGCUAACUACGUGCAGCAGCCGCGGUAAUCUGAGCGGGCUGGCAAGGC
This 197-nucleotide ribosomal RNA is filed under the name uncultured bacterium. RNAcentral describes it as "partial 16S ribosomal RNA". It matches the Rfam family "Bacterial small subunit ribosomal RNA", at positions 328 to 539 of the family's 1533-position model. The record is from RNAcentral.